UGUCAUCAGAUUUAUUGCAUUUCGCGAUUGAUCAAAAGCACGGAGAUGCGGCAAGAAUAAAAGAAAAGGCUGGUUGCCGAAAUUUCUCGACGUUAACAGUAUGCCCAUACACACAGUGCUUGUACAAAUAAAAAAACCUCUCCUUUCUAUUGCCCCCUCCCCCCUACAACAUAAUGUUACACGUUUUCAAGAGUGUAAGUAAUUCUUACUUUGUGUCUAAAUGUAAAACGGACAAUAAAUGUUAUCGUCAGUAGUAAUAAGGGGGCCAAAUGUCUAAUGUCGAAAAUUGGCCAAGAUUUGAAAUAAGCGCCUUUCCCCCCCUCUUCAACGCAAAAAAGAAAAUGCUAUAACUUUUUAGCUUUUGGGUAUCUCAUAUCUCUCCAAACCUUCCCUUGGCAAUGAGCUUAGCCUUCCCUAUAUGCGGCUUUGUGAGAAAAAAAUCAUCUCGUUUGAUUUAGUUGACUUAUUAAGUGGCUUUCACACCUGCCAGAAAAGCCUGGGUACAAGAGGAGAAAAUGAAGCUCUGGCAUAGUAUAGGACCCAAGGGAUGGUUUAGCGUAAUGUUUGUGACGUAGGUGACGUAACAGGUUUUCGCGCCCCAGAAAAGCCGAGUGCAAAACCACUAAAACUCACCCAACCAUAAGCAAAAAAAAAAACAAUAAUUCCAGAUCUGUAUCACAUUAAAUCGGCGAAGAAAAAUAUGGCUGUCGCAGCAUUCGGGUCCCAUCUCAGCUUUAAUAACAAGAAAGCUCUCGAAUGGGGUGCAGAGAGCCUCAGUAGUACUCCAUGUGUUAAAACGGUCAACCAACGCGUCGAACAACCUUUGCUGAGGAUGGAACGGAAGCCCUCCUAUUUUCUCCGCAAUUUCAAGCGGUUUGGAGUGGGCUUCGGCUGUAUUUUGUUUCUACUGGGGUUUGUCUCCUUAACAUUGUCUUUAGGAAUACGACAGCACUUAAAUGGCCCAGGCCUCGUGUGGCCCACGACGUCCAUAAAAAUCCACAGGAAUCACACAGAGUAUAUCUCCGCAAAGGUUCGGCUGCCCUGGGCUACAAACCACCACAACUGGCAGUACAACCUAAUGAUUGUGCGAGUUUGGGUCGGCACAUGUAUCAUCCUGGGGACUGCUAUAGCUUUAAGCAUACUCUACUCAAUUACAUUCUGUCUGUAUGAGAAAUGGAGAAAUCGCCAAGAGGCAUUGUGUCGGGAUCAGAAAGGAAGAUCGACACCACCGAAACAUGCUUUCAACUUGUCUUUUUAUCAUUUAAACAAAAUUGGGGCAUCGGACUUACUUCCGGUUUGAAUCAAAGUGGUUAGAGGGCGAUGUAUUUUAUUAUUAUACAAAAAAAACAACAAUAAUAAUGCCAUCUCCAAAAAUAACUUAUAUCUGAA
Nematostella vectensis (starlet sea anemone) is the source of this 1389-nucleotide RNA transcript. RefSeq lists it as uncharacterized. The transcript is spliced from 2 exons. The record is from RefSeq and is a predicted model, not a curated record. NCBI's taxonomy places the organism in Eukaryota, Metazoa, Cnidaria, Anthozoa, Actiniaria, Edwardsiidae.